UGAUACUAACUUCUUUCUUGGGCAU
This 25-nucleotide non-coding RNA is filed under the name Mus musculus (house mouse). The record is from RNAcentral. Lineage: Eukaryota; Metazoa; Chordata; Mammalia; Rodentia; Muridae.